RNAcentral lists this transfer-messenger RNA (359 nucleotides) under Deltaproteobacteria bacterium. It matches the Rfam family "transfer-messenger RNA". From Rfam's summary of the family: Bacterial tmRNA, also known as 10Sa RNA or SsrA, is named for its dual tRNA and mRNA-like properties. Its role is to liberate the mRNA from a stalled ribosome. RNAcentral also lists the same sequence under 1 other name. Lineage: Bacteria; Pseudomonadati; Myxococcota; Myxococcia. The record is from RNAcentral.
GGGGGCGAAACGGUUUCGACGGGGAUAGUUGAAGCUGUAGAAGCGUGUCGAGGUUCCUAUCGGCCUCGUUAAACAGGUAGGAAAAAAAUAAUCGCAGACAACUACGAUUACGCUUUAGCCGCGUAAGACGGCUAACGUCCUCCCGGUUUCUGUCUGUCGAAUCGGAUGAGGGCGUCAUAAAGGCAGGCUAGCCGAGCUCUUUUUCCUGCGGGGAGUCAGGCGAAACUCAACUCAGGAUAGUAUCUGAUAGAUCCUGCCUCUGGGAGUUUUCAGAUGCGAAUACUAAAACAGGGGAUACACACGUAGAAACUACAGUGGAAUAUUUUCGGACGCGGGUUCGACUCCCGCCGCCUCCACCA